CAGUAGCCGCGGGAAUACAGAGGGUGCGAGCGUUAAUCGGAUUUACUGGGCGUAAAGCGUGCGUAGGCGGCUAAUUGAGUCGGAUGUGAAAUCCCCGGGCUUAACCUGGGAACUGCAUUUGAAACUGGCAGACUGGAGUCUUGUAGAGGGGUGUAGAAUUCCAGGUGUAGCGGUGAAAUGCGUAGAGAUCUGGAGGAAUACCGGUGGCGAAGGCGGCCCCCUGGACAAAGACUGACGCUCAGGUGCGAAAGCGUGGGGAGCAAACAGGAUUAGAUACCCCGGUAGUCCCUGUCUCUUAUAC
This 301-nucleotide ribosomal RNA is filed under the name uncultured bacterium. RNAcentral describes it as "partial 16S ribosomal RNA". It matches the Rfam family "Bacterial small subunit ribosomal RNA", at positions 509 to 807 of the family's 1533-position model. The record is from RNAcentral.